This is a long non-coding RNA of Scylla paramamosain (green mud crab), 1657 nucleotides long. RefSeq lists it as uncharacterized. The transcript is spliced from 7 exons. The record is from RefSeq and is a predicted model, not a curated record. Lineage: Eukaryota; Metazoa; Arthropoda; Malacostraca; Decapoda; Portunidae.
GGAAGGAGGAGGGGUCGACGUAGCUUGCAGUUCCCCGUCUCCCUCACAGCAGUGCCACGCCAUACGCAGUCACGAUCACGAAACCUUAUCAAGAAACAAAAAAAAAACUAACCAAAUCAAAUAAACCACGUUACAAAAAAGAACAUAAAUGAGAAAACAUGUGUUAGUGACAGCAAACACCUGGAAUAGUUUACAGGAAUGUGCAAAUUAACGCACAUUAGUGAAAGAGAUGAUAAUUAAUAAUAGUGGCAUUAUAAUAACACUAAUAACGCAUCAAGACAAACCUGACGUGACGGGGAGUGAGUUACGGGGCAGUAUUCAGAAACAAACGUUUUACUCUCUCACCGUGACUAUUUUUAAAGGCCACAGAGAUGACUAGCCAGGUUUUCAAGAGUGUUUCUCUUGUUACUAAUGCAGAAAUCUUUUUAAUCUGUCACUAGAGCCUUAAAAACAUCCUUAAAUUCUGCGUCACUUUAACUAGAACCUUUUUGAUUGAAAGUAGUGGAGGUGCAGCGCAGAAGUGUUUCAAAAUAUGGUCAAGAGAAACAAACAGGCGGGAACAGAGUGACUUCUCGUGAUGCUUGAGGUGACGGGCGAGGGCACGCGACGCUCCCUGCCCUGGUAUGCCGUCUUGUGGGUGCUGGUGUGCGGAGGGCGCGGCGCAGGGGGGCAGCACCUCGCAGGGGCCACCUACAGCGUCACAGCAACCAGGGGUACCACGGCACACCUUCCCUGCCUCGUGCCGCUGUUAGUGCAAACCCAGCAGCAUGAGGUGACCUGGCUGAGGAGACAUGACCUUCAUAUUCUGACCUCCGGCACUGUCACCUUCUCUCCUGACGCCAGAUUCAAGGUGUCGUCGUCAUCGCAGGGCCUGGAGGUGCGCGGAGUGACGGCGAGUGACGCUGGCGAGUAUCAAUGUUACGUUACCAAGCAUCCGAGACACCAUUUCAGCGUCACCCUUCACGUCACGGAGCGAGGACAGGCGCCACUGCGGGGGAAAAGGAGCGUGUUUGUGGGCAAAUAACACCGCGGAGACCUGGGAUGGCAGUCUUAAGGUGAAGAUACUGGGAGGCCGUGAAGUGAACAUCGAGGCGGGGUUCUCUUCUGACACUAACUUGUCGUGUAACUUCUUCCCACGGCCCCCGCCACGCUAAUCUACUGGUACCCACAACACUGCCCUGCUCCGCUACUCCUCUCCCAGGGGCGGCGUGAAGCUAAAGAUCGACCACGCCAACGGGGUGACUCUGGCGCGGCUGGAGGUGGGUGAUGUGAGGGCAACUGACAGCGGGGUGUACUCCUGUGUGCCGCCCGGUUCGCAUCCCGCCUCUGUCCUCGUGCACGUCCAUCAUGGGGAACAAGAUGCCGCAGUUCAGCAGGAAAGGAUCAACACAACGACCUCCUCCUCCUCCCUUAUCUCCCUCCCUCCGCACCCUGUCCUCCUCCUUCCUACACUGACCCUCUUCUUUCUCUACUUUCUUUCUUCCUCCUCCUCCUACCCAGCCUCCUUCGUCCCUCUCUCCCUAGCUAUCAUUUUCCUCCUCUCUCCCUUCCCUCCCCUCUCCAGCAGCCUCCUUGUUCUCUCCCUAGCCUUCCUCCUCUCCCCUUCCUCCGCCGGCCUCCUCUUUCCUCUGUGCUUGGAAAUAAAGUGUAAGAGGUG